UACGAAGGGUGCAAGCGUUACUCGGAAUUACUGGGCGUAAAGCGUGCGUAGGUGGUUUGUUAAGUCUGUUGUGAAAUCCCCGAGCUCAACUUGGGAAUUGCAAUGGAUACUGGCAGGCUCGAGUAUGGUAGAGGAAGGUGGAAUUCCCGGUGUAGCAGUGAAAUGCGUAGAGAUCGGGAGGAACACCAGUGGCGAAGGCGGCCUUCUGGACCAAUACUGACGCUCAUGAACGAAAGCGUGGGGAGCAAACAGG
RNAcentral lists this ribosomal RNA (253 nucleotides) under uncultured bacterium. Its description in RNAcentral is "partial 16S ribosomal RNA". It matches the Rfam family "Bacterial small subunit ribosomal RNA", at positions 524 to 776 of the family's 1533-position model. The record is from RNAcentral.